This 506-nucleotide ribosomal RNA is filed under the name uncultured bacterium. RNAcentral's name for it is "partial 16S ribosomal RNA". It matches the Rfam family "Bacterial small subunit ribosomal RNA", at positions 28 to 522 of the family's 1533-position model. The record is from RNAcentral.
GACGAACGCUGGCGGCGUGCCUAACACAUGCAAGUCGAACGGAAAACAUAGCAAUAUGUUUUUAGUGGCGAACGGGUGAGUAACGCGUAGACAACCAACCUUUUUGUGGGGGACAACACUUCGAAAGGAGUGCUAAUACCGCAUACGCUCCAGAUGCCGCAUGGCAUUUGGAGGAAAGGAGCUGUAAGGCUUCGCAAAAAGCCGGGUCUGCGUCUGAUUAGCUAGUUGGGGGGGGAACGGCCCACCAAGGCGACGAUCAGUGGCCGGUCUGGGAGGAUGGACGGCCAAACUGGGACUGAGACACGGCCCAGAGUCCUACGGGAGGCAGCAGUGGGGAAUCUUCCGCAAUGGACGAAAGUCUGACGGAGCGACGCCGCGUGAGUGAUGAAGGCCCUUGGGUCGUAAAGCUCUGUCAUCAGGGACGAACGGUCACGUCAGGAAAUGGGCGUGAAUUGACGGUACCUGAGAAGGAAGCCACGGCUAACUACGUGCCAGCCGCCGCCGUA